AACGAACGCUGGCGGCAUGCCUUACACAUGCAAGUCGAACGAGACCUUCGGGCCUAGUGGUGCACGGGUGCGUAACGCGUGGGAACCUGCCCUUAGGUUCGGAAUCACGCCCCGAAAGGGGUGCUAAUACCGGCUAAUGUCUCAGGCCCAAAUUUUUAACGCCGUUGGAUGGGCCCGAGUUGGCUUAAUUAGUUGGUAGGGUAAAAGCCUACCAAGGCGACGAUCGAUAGCUUGUCUGAGAGGAUGAUCAGCCACUCUGGGACUGAGACACGGCCCAGACUCCUACGGGAGGCAGCAGUGGGGAAUAUUGGACAAUGGGCGAAAGCCUGAUCCAGCAAGGCCGCGUGAGUGAUGAAGGCCUUAGGGUUGUAAAGCUCUUUUACCCGGGAUGAUAAUGACAGUACCGGGAGAAUAAGCACCGGCUAACUCCGUG
RNAcentral lists this ribosomal RNA (433 nucleotides) under uncultured bacterium. RNAcentral's name for it is "partial 16S ribosomal RNA". It matches the Rfam family "Bacterial small subunit ribosomal RNA", at positions 29 to 507 of the family's 1533-position model. The record is from RNAcentral.